This 253-nucleotide ribosomal RNA is filed under the name uncultured bacterium. RNAcentral describes it as "partial 16S ribosomal RNA". It matches the Rfam family "Bacterial small subunit ribosomal RNA", at positions 524 to 776 of the family's 1533-position model. The record is from RNAcentral.
UACAGAGGGUGCGAGCGUUAAUCGGAAUUACUGGGCGUAAAGGGUGCGUAGGUGGUUUUAUAAGUUAGGUGUGAAAUUCCUGGGCUUAACCUGGGGACUGCGCCUAAUACUGUAAAGCUAGAGUACUGUAGAGGAAAGUGGAAUUUCCGGUGUAGCAGUGAAAUGCGUAGAUAUCGGAAGGAACAUCAGUGGCGAAGGCGACUUUCUGGACAGAUACUGACACUGAGGCACGAAAGCGUGGGGAGCAAACAGG